UACGGAGGGUGCGAGCGUUAAUCGGAAUUACUGGGCGUAAAGGGUGCGUAGGUGGUUGAAUAAGUUAUCUGUGAAAGCCCCGGGCUCAACCUGGGAAGGUCAGAUAAGACUGUUUGACUCGAGUAUAGGAGAGGGUAGUGGAAUUUCCGGUGUAGCGGUGAAAUGCGUAGAGAUCGGAAGGAACACCAGUGGCGAAGGCGGCUACCUGGCCAGAUACUGACACUGAAGCACGAAAGCGUGGGGAGCAAACAGG
This 253-nucleotide ribosomal RNA is filed under the name uncultured Legionella sp. Its description in RNAcentral is "partial 16S ribosomal RNA". It matches the Rfam family "Bacterial small subunit ribosomal RNA", at positions 524 to 776 of the family's 1533-position model. The record is from RNAcentral. Lineage: Bacteria; Pseudomonadati; Pseudomonadota; Gammaproteobacteria; Legionellales; Legionellaceae.